Long non-coding RNA from Callithrix jacchus (white-tufted-ear marmoset), 1764 nucleotides. The record is from Ensembl. Lineage: Eukaryota; Metazoa; Chordata; Mammalia; Primates; Cebidae.
AUGCUAUGGUCUUUGCUUUCUCAUAAUAUUUGCUUAGAUCUUUGUAUUUCAAAUUCACCCUCCACCAUGCCAUGCUUAAGCUUACCUCAGCUAAAAUCAGAAACACUGUGGCAUGUUUUGCUCAUUCUGGAUGAAUACAGAUGGCGCUGUGAGAACAACCCAGGAUUGAAGCUCUCGUUGAAUCCGCGGAGAGGUGAGUUGGAGCUGCAUUUCCAGACUGAUCUUUGUUGUCCACAGAAUGGGGAAAUUCCCAAGCAUAAAGGAGACGCGGGACGCCAGGCAGUAACUCUGCCUGGCGAAGCCGGCAGCCGGAGUGGCGGCGGCCAGCCCUACCCAGCGCUCCCCACAGGGCGCGCUUGUCCGGGUGCCCUGUUGAACCAGCAACCUGAGACAUGAGAGGGCUGGACUUGAGACUGACCGAGACUUGGACAGUGGGCCAGCCCAGGAGAUUGCAGGGACAGAGCGUUUGGGGUAGCCCAGUGGGACGGACAAAAUGGUGAUUCCAAAUGCUCCCCAUGCAGACAGUCUGAGAUGCUCUGUGGGGGAGGGGCGUCCACCAUUACCGAGGCAACCCGCCCCAACUGAGAUACACGCCCACUGCUGACACAGCCAGCUGUUGCUGAGGCAACCCGUCCCUACUGAGAUACACGUCCACUGCUGACGCAGCCUGCCAUUGCGGAGGCAACCCGCUACAACAGAGAGACUCCGCCGCAGGGCGUAGCCGGUGGCGGAGACCACAGCAGAACAGCAGAGCCUGCAGCAACAGGGUGAACCACACAACAGCAGGGCGGAGCCUCGGCAGGCAAACAGUGUCUAGUCUGCCUCCUAGCUGGGCAGGACACCUCAACGGACAUCAAAAAUAAAGCCCGAACCCCCAACACAGAGCAUUUGAGAAAAUAAGGGUUUUUUUAAUGAGCUCUGUUGCAGCAGAAUCAAACAUAGCAGCCUAACAGCCCUGAACGAACAACAGAGCUCACAGCUCAGCAAUUGAGUUCCUAUGAAGUACAGACUGUCUCCUCAAGCAGCUCCCUGACCCCUCUAUAUCCAAAAGACUGACAUUUGGUAGACAUCAUCCUGGGACAAAGAGAGCAGAAAAAGAAACUGGUAGCAUCCCUCACUGUGCCACAGCUGCUAUAGGUGCACCCCAGACAAGAAGGGCCUGGAGUGGACCUCAGCAGUCGUACAGCAAAGGGGCUAGACUGGUAGAAGGAAAACCAAGUAACAGAAAGACCUCAUCAUCAACAAUCUGGGUGUCCACUCAGAGACCCAAUCGAAAAGUGAGCAACUACGCAGAUGACAAGCAGAUAAAUCCACAAAGAUGGGAAGAAACCAGCGCAAAAAGGAGGAAAAAAACCCGAAACCAGAACACCUCGCCUCCUAGAAAGGACCAAAACUCCUCACCAGCAAGGAAACAAAGCUGGACAAAGAAUGACUGUGAUGAAAUGAUGGAAUAAGACUUCAGAACGUGGAUAAUGAGAAACAUUUGUAAGCUAAAAGAACAUGUAUUAAAUCAAUGCAAAGAAACUAAGGAACUUGAAAAAAGAUAUGAAAAAAGAUUUGAGGAAAUGAUAACAGGAAUGGAUAACUUAGAGAGGAAUAUGAAUGAAUAAAAGGAGCUGAAAAACACAAUACUAGAACUUCGCGAAGCAUGCACAAGUUUCAAUAGCCAAAUUGACCAAGCAGAAGAAAGAAUAUCUGAAGUUGAAGACCAACUCAAUGAAAUAAAACGAGAAACCAAGAUUAGAGAAAAAAGCGCAAAAAGGA